UAAGACCGGUGCCAGCCGCCGCGGUAAUACCGGUGGCUCGAGUGGUGGCCGCUAUUAUUGGGUCUAAAGGGUCCGUAGCCGGCUUGAUAAGUUACCUGGGAAAUCCGGUGGCCUAACCAUCGGGCGGCCAGGUAAUACUAUCAGGCUCGGGACUAGGAGAGACCAGAGGUACUCAUGAGGUAGGAGUGAAAUCCUGUAAUCUUAUGAGGACCACCAGUGGUGAAGACGUCUGGUUAGAAUAGGUCCGACGGUGAGGGACGAA
This 262-nucleotide ribosomal RNA is filed under the name uncultured Methanomicrobia archaeon. Its description in RNAcentral is "partial 16S ribosomal RNA". It matches the Rfam family "Archaeal small subunit ribosomal RNA", at positions 447 to 708 of the family's 1478-position model. The record is from RNAcentral. Lineage: Archaea; Methanobacteriati; Methanobacteriota; Methanomicrobia.